This 463-nucleotide ribosomal RNA is filed under the name Tuber rufum. RNAcentral's name for it is "eukaryotic LSU rRNA". It matches the Rfam family "Eukaryotic large subunit ribosomal RNA", at positions 117 to 584 of the family's 3401-position model. Lineage: Eukaryota; Fungi; Ascomycota; Pezizomycetes; Pezizales; Tuberaceae. The record is from RNAcentral.
GAAAUCUGGCGCCUCUGGUGUCCGAGUUGUAAUUUGGAGAGGCAUCUUCCGGAGGGGCCCAGCCUAUGUUCCUAGGAACAGGACAUCACAGAGGGUGAGAAUCCCGUUCAUGGCUGGAUGUACCCUUCAGUAGGUAGUGCCUUCUACGAGUCGAGUUGUUUGGGAAUGCAGCUCAAAAUGGGUGGUAAAUUUCAUCUAAAGCUAAAUAUUGGCGAGAGACCGAUAGCGCACAAGUAGAGUGAUCGAAAGAUGAAAAGCACUUUGAAAAUAGAGUCAAACAGUACGUGAAAUUGUUGAAAGGGAAGCGCUUGAGAUCAGACUCAGCCUUGGGCAAACAACUGUCCUUCUGGAUGGUGCACUUGCCCUCGGUUGGGCCAGCAUCAGUUAGGACGGUGGAAUAAAGGCUUGGGGAAUGUGACUCCGCUUAGGAGUGUUAUAGCCUCAGGUGCCAUCCCACCUGGCC